Long non-coding RNA from Magnolia sinica, 1000 nucleotides. RefSeq lists it as uncharacterized. The transcript has 2 exons. NCBI's taxonomy places the organism in Eukaryota, Viridiplantae, Streptophyta, Magnoliopsida, Magnoliales, Magnoliaceae. The record is from RefSeq and is a predicted model, not a curated record.
AUAAAACAAACAAUUUCAUUCAUGUAUAAACUAUACAAAACCUGGACAAAUUCGGGCUUUCCCGGGCAAAACUACCCUGAGAAAACCUAUCAUAAAGCCUAAACUAACUCAGCCUAUACACGACUCAAGAAAAAAUAAGCCUUCCUGACAACCCUGACAACGCCCAACCCCACUUCAUCUAGGAAGAUCAAACCCCUGAUCGAAGUCGGGAGGUCCGCUUGGGAGUCUGAAUUUCAACUUCCAGUCUCAAAUGUCGGACAUCUCGGACACUUGAGACUUCAGGUUUUGACCAUUUCAAUACAAUUCUAGGUGUAACUUGCAAGCAUUUCAUAGCUUUAAACAAACCAUUUUAAUAGUCUCUUGGAUAUUGAGACUUCAGGUUUUGUGUUCAAUCAUCAUCUUACUUGCACAUCAAUGGACUAGGUGCUUUUUGAGAAAGCAAAGCUUACAAUUGAGAGGGGAGAAAAUUGCCAUCACUGGUCCAGAUGGAUGUGAGAAGAGAGUACUUUGCUUAAAUUGAUUAUGGGUCUUGAGAAACCAAGAGGAGGUGAAAUUUUGAUUAGGUAGCACAAUGUCCUGCCAAAAUAUUUUGAGCAAAACUAUGCAGAAGCUCUUGAUUUGGAGAAAAUUGUGCUUCAAAUAGUAGUAGAAGUUGUAGAGGAUUGGAGAAUAGAUGAAAUAAGCGGGCUCUUGGGUCGUUGUAAUUUUAAAGCCAACAUGUUUGACAGAAAAGUUGCACUUUUGAGUGGUGAUGAGAAGGUAUGUGAAAUAUCUUCUACCAUGCUAUUUUUGGUUUUGCCUGUUUGGCUAUAUCAGGCUAUGUGGCUGCAUGGAAAGUUGUAUUGCUAUAAACAUUUGUAGCAUGGAAAAUGGACAUUCGUGUGCAUUUGUAGUCUAAAAACAUUAAAUAGACCGUUAAGUGUUUUAUUGGUAUUGUGCUGAUUAUUGUCUUGAUGAAUGUUAAAUGGGUGAAACAUGCACGCACAUGUUUAAUCAUUGA